This 378-nucleotide ribosomal RNA is filed under the name uncultured organism. RNAcentral describes it as "bacterial SSU rRNA". It matches the Rfam family "Bacterial small subunit ribosomal RNA", at positions 526 to 896 of the family's 1533-position model. The record is from RNAcentral.
CGUAGGUGGCUAAGCGUUGUCCGGAAUUAUUGGGCGUAAAGCGCGCGUCAGGUCGGUCCUUUAAGUCUGAUGUGAAAGCCCACGGCUCAACCGUGGAGGGUCAUUGGAAACUGGGGGACUUGAGUGCAGGAGAGAAGAGUUUUGGAAUUCCACGUGUAGCGGUGAAAUGCGUAGAGAUGUGGAGGAACACCAGUGGCGAAGGCGACUCUUUGGCCUGUAACUGACGCUGAGGCGCGAAAGCGUGGGGAGCAAACAGGAUUAGAUACCCUGGUAGUCCACGCCGUAAACGAUGAGUGCUAAGUGUUAGAGGGUUUCCGCCCUUUAGUGCUGCAGUAAACGCAUUAAGCACUCCGCCUGGGGAGUACGGCCGCAAGGCUG